GAACUGUGGGGAGGUGGCCAGGCAAGGGUGGGAAGAGAGGGAGGCUGGGUGGGCCCUCCAGGAGGCUCAGAGAAGCCCAGACGCUAGUGUCCCUGAUCAGCGUGACAGCCCUACGACAGGCGAAGGGGCAGGAGCUGCUGCUCCCACACUGAGCACUCUCUCUGUGGCAGGCUCCUGAAUCCACCAUCCUCCCUAAAGUCCCCACGUGACAUGUGGGCUCACUGAGGUUCUGAAUGGAGUGGAGCUUACUCGGGGCCAUCCAGCCAGUCGGGCUGUGUGGGACAACAGGGGACAACCACGUCCUUGGACCCACAUUGACCUUUUCUCACUGUCCAUGGCCCCAGGAGGGAGAGAAGGCAGCCCUGAGCCACAGGGAAGGUGUAAGGGGCACAGCCUGGCUUCCUGGAGAGCCCAGCCUCAGGCCCUCUCCCCACGUUCUGUUUAGGAAAUUUCCCAGUGGCUCCAGCCUCGGGAUCCUGCAACCUGAACACCUACUGGCUUCUUGGGGUCAUCCACCUUCUGCACCGAGAGGUUCUCAAGAGGUAUAAUUCCCCGUGGCUCCUUGUCCUACAGGGAAAGGGGAAGGAAGGUCAGGGUCAGGAAGCGGAACCCUGAGGCCCAAGGCAGGGUGUGAACGUGUGGGGUUCCCCAAACUCAAAGAGGAGCGUGCUCAUCUUCCGAGACUGUCCAGUCAUAGGGGGACGGAAGUUAGAAGCAGCAUGUGAAGACCUCUGGCCGGAACUUAGGAGGCCCAGCUUUAAGCCUGGGCUCUGCCUAGGACCUUGGCCCGGCCCUCCUCUGUGUACCCGUUUUCCCCAUCUGUAAAAUGGGCAUGGAGGGGGACUGAAUGAUCUCAAAGGAUCCAAAGCUGUCUUGAGCAGCCAACCCUCCCGGUCUGGAUUGAAGAAGGUGUGAGUGAGGUC
This 923-nucleotide long non-coding RNA is filed under the name Homo sapiens (human). RNAcentral's name for it is "HSALNT0406013". The record is from RNAcentral. Lineage: Eukaryota; Metazoa; Chordata; Mammalia; Primates; Hominidae.